GAUGAACGCUGGCGGCGUGCCUAAUACAUGCAAGUCGAGCGAACGGACGAGAAGCUUGCUUUUCUGAUGUUAGCGGCGGACGGGUGAGUAACACGUGGAUAACCUACCUAUAAGACUGGGAUAACUUCGGGAAACCGGAGCUAAUACCGGAUAAUAUUUUGAACCGCAUGGUUCAAAAGUGAAAGACGGUCUUGCUGUCACUUAUAGAUGGAUCCGCGCUGCAUUAGCUAGUUGGUAAGGUAACGGCUUACCAAGGCAACGAUGCAUAGCCGACCUGAGAGGGUGAUCGGCCACACUGGAACUGAGACACGGUCCAGACUCCUACGGGAGGCAGCAGUAGGGAAUCUUCCGCAAUGGGCGAAAGCCUGACGGAGCAACGCCGCGUGAGUGAUGAAGGUCUUCGGAUCGUAAAACUCUGUUAUUAGGGAAGAACAUAUGUGUAAGUAACUGUGCACAUCUUGACGGUACCUAAUCAGAAAGCCACGGCUAACUACGUGCCAGCAGCCGCGGUAAUACGUAGGUGGCAAGCGUUAUCCGGAAUUAUUGGGCGUAAAGCGCGCGUAGGCGGUUUUUUAAGUCUGAUGUGAAAGCCCACGGCUCAACCGUGGAGGGUCAUUGGAAACUGGAAAACUUGAGUGCAGAAGAGGAAAGUGGAAUUCCAUGUGUAGCGGUGAAAUGCGCAGAGAUGUGGAGGAACACCAGUGGCGAAGGCGACUUUCUGGUCUGUAACUGACGCUGAUGUGCGAAAGCGUGGGGAUCAAACAGAAUUAGAUACCCUGGUAGUCCACGCCGUAAACGAUGAGUGCUAAGUGUUAGGGGGUUUCCGCCCCUUAGUGCUGCAGCUAACGCAUUAAGCACUCCGCCUGGGGAGUACGACCGCAAGGUUGAAACUCAAAGGAAUUGACGGGGGCCCGCACAAGCGGUGGAGCAUGUGGUUUAAUUCGAAGCAACGCGAAGAACCUUACCAAAUCUUGACAUCCUUUGACAACUCUAGAGAUAGAGCCUUCCCCUUCGGGGGACAAAGUGACAGGUGGUGCAUGGUUGUCGUCAGCUCGUGUCGUGAGAUGUUGGGUUAAGUCCCGCAACGAGCGCAACCCUUAAGCUUAGUUGCCAUCAUUAAGUUGGGCACUCUAAGUUGACUGCCGGUGACAAACCGGAGGAAGGUGGGGAUGACGUCAAAUCAUCAUGCCCCUUAUGAUUUGGGCUACACACGUGCUACAAUGGACAAUACAAAGGGCAGCGAAACCGCGAGGUCAAGCAAAUCCCAUAAAGUUGUUCUCAGUUCGGAUUGUAGUCUGCAACUCGACUACAUGAAGCUGGAAUCGCUAGUAAUCGUAGAUCAGCAUGCUACGGUGAAUACGUUCCCGGGUCU
Molecule: ribosomal RNA, 1372 nt
Filed under: uncultured bacterium
Lineage: Bacteria
Description: bacterial SSU rRNA
Rfam family: Bacterial small subunit ribosomal RNA
Source: RNAcentral